CUUGUCAUGAACGUGUGCGUGGUCAGUACACACCCCCAGCCCCUGGGCACAGGUGAGAGCACUGAGACCCAGAGAGGAGCAUGACUUCCUUGUGGCCACGGAGCAGAUGCCCCUCGGAGCCAAGACCCAACCCAGGCCUCCUCGGCAGAGGUCCCAGGAGGCCACCGAGCCCACCUCUGGAGUGCUGGCAGCUUGGCUCACAGAGAAUCAUGCUUAACCCAGCGUAGGUCUGGCCCCGACAGAAUGGUGACUUUGUGACCCGAUGAACUGCCUCCCCUCCCCCAGCCAUAUCCACCCACCUGCAAGAACUUGUCAAAGUGGACAAAAGAUCCCUUCAGCUCCCGCUCCUUCUGUUCCAACUGUUCCCGGCGCUGUUUCUGGGCUGCCGUCAAAGCCUGGAACACCUGGGGAGAGGGUCUGAAAAAGUCUCAGGGACUGCAGUGGAGGCUCACCUCCUUCUGGGUCUGCAGAUCCCGGUCCGCAUCCAUCAGCUCUUGCCUCUUCUCCAGGAGGCGCAGCACCGGCGGGAUGUGGUCCACAUUGUGCUCCGGGAUCUUCCUGGAGGGGCUCCAAGGGGGAGAUGGGAAUGAAGGAGGCAAGAGUCAGGGCCCCCAAACCCCCCUCUAGUGCUUGAAAUGCCCCCACGAGCCAUAUACUAGUUGUUGAGUUGUUCAUUCAUUCAACAUAUCGUACAGAGCAACUACUCUGCCGGGCACCUUUCUAGGCACGGGGCGGGGGGAGGCAGUGCAAAAUCCCCACCUUCCAGAAGCUGGCAUUCUGCUGGGGUGGGGGCACAGGAAAUAAAGCUAACAGAUAAUAAAUAAGGCCAGGGCAUGGUAGGUGUCUGAUGAAGUAUUAAGCAGGCAAAAGGAAGUCUUUCAAUGGGGAGGUGAAAAAGUCUCUCCAAGAAGACCCUGAGGUCACCCGGGCAGAGACCCGUGGGAGCAAGAGGAGGUCAACACGUGGAUACCUGCAGGGAACGGCCAAUGCCAAGGCCUCAAGAGAAGGACUUUGGAUUGUAGAAGGCUCUCGAGGCUGCAGUGGGGGCCGAGAACCAUAGGAGAGGCAGGGCAGCUGCAGGAGAUGGUGAAGGGGUUCUGGGAUAACACAGAGACAGUGUGGGUCUGGUCAGGUGGUCAUAGGGGAGAGGCGAGGAGUGCGGUCACGCUCAGUUUGAGAGCAGAGUUGAUGCGGUGACCCAGGGCGGGGUUGAGAAAGGAGACUAAGGGGAGUU
Mustela lutreola (European mink) is the source of this 1234-nucleotide long non-coding RNA. RefSeq lists it as uncharacterized. The record is from RefSeq and is a predicted model, not a curated record. Lineage: Eukaryota; Metazoa; Chordata; Mammalia; Carnivora; Mustelidae. The transcript is spliced from 3 exons.